This 253-nucleotide ribosomal RNA is filed under the name uncultured archaeon. RNAcentral describes it as "partial 16S ribosomal RNA". It matches the Rfam family "Archaeal small subunit ribosomal RNA", at positions 474 to 727 of the family's 1478-position model. The record is from RNAcentral.
AACCAGCACCUCAAGUGGUCAGGAUGAUUAUUGGGCCUAAAGCAUCCGUAGCCGGUUCUGUAAGUCUUCGGUUAAAUCUAACAACUCAAGUUAUGGACUGCCGAAGAUACUGCAGGGCUAGGGAGUGGGAGAGGUAGACGGUACUCGGUAGGAAGGGGUAAAAUCCUUUGAUCUAUUGAUGACCACCUGUGGCGAAGGCGGUCUACCAGAACAUGUCCGACGGUGAGGGAUGAAAGCUGGGGGAGCAAACCGG